ACUACAUUUCCCAUAAUCCCGUUCACCUGAAAACCUUUGUAAACAAGACCACGAUUUGUUUUUGCGGAUGUGUAAAGUUUAAGGUGAAAAUGUAAAAUGUUAAAAAUAAACAGUAACUUUUGUUUUAUUAAAAGACAAAGUGUUGUCUGAAAAGACUUUAGAUUUGUGGAAAUAAAUACAAUAAGCAUUGGGAGAGAAGAGUGAUUUUUUUCCUGUAAGGUAUAGUGACUCCUGUCUGAAAUGGGGGAUUUGGAAGAAGAUGGAUACCCUGACUGAAAUAGAAAGUGAGGUGGACUCAGCAAUUACCAUUUCAUAAUAGCAACACUGGGCUCUACUGACAGGAUCGGAAGUUUAGAAUCCUUGGAGAUCAAGCAAAACACAGCUGGAGAUUUGGAAAGGAUGAAGCGCCUUUGACUAGACAGUAUCCUCACAGCUAUUCAUCUGAGCACCAAUCAUUUCUUUUCUUUUAUCCAUCACCGAGAAAGAACACUCUGAGUUUGGGAGUGAUGAAGAGAAAAGUGCUAGCCAUUUCGUUUUCACAGCUACAGUAAUUAAUAAAUGUUUUUUAGGAAAGCUUCUGUGCUUUCAAGAGAACAUACAAAGUAACAGACAAAUCACACACACAAAGUAACACAGACAAAUCACAGUUUUUUUUUUACAGCUGGCAGAUUACACUUUGUUUCUGAUUUAUGUUUCAACCAUUUCAUUCUGCAAAUAGCUAGCUUGAAUCUUUGGCCACCGGUAGUGUGCAUUACCAUUGAAAAUCUUGUAGACAUGCACUGUAAUGUCACCUUUUUUGAUAUCUUUCACCUAUACAAACGCGAUUAGUAAAGUACUGGGCUGUAUAAGAGCACAGGAUGUGAUGAUAUAGUUGAGCAAUAGCGUCAUGACAUGCACUAAACCCUUGUAACUUGCAAAAGGCUACCAGUUUAUUAGGUUUCUUGGCUAUUUUCAACUCCAUAAAAAGAAGUGAUGAGCAAAUGCCCAGCUGCACUUAGCAUUUCUUAUCUAAGAAGAUAUUAGAGUACGUGUGAUACCAGACUUAGCUCAACCCUCAUGUGCGUAACUCCUAGAAAAUCAAGUCAACAUUCUUCUAAGAUUAAUAUAUUAAUUAAGUGAAAGGAGUGACACAGAAUAAAUAUUGUAUAUAAGAUAUGUUGCCUCUGACAUCUUCUGAUGUCUACUAAAAUUGCAUUAAUUGAAAAUGAUGUUUGCAAAUGUCCCUCUUUGGUUCAACUAUUUUGAUCUAAAAUUGUAUCUGUUUAAAUCACCACAGUGAAAUUCACUUGUUUGGGGGUGUAAAAUGUGUUGCACUUUCACUCACAAUGCACAUAUGGAUGCCCUUUCAAUACAGUGAUGUACCCUCUACAAUGAGAAGCACUUCUCCCCCGCCUCUGUCUCAAUUCCUAUUGUUUUAUUUUCACUUUUUGUUUUAUUUAUGGCAGCCCAAAUGCAGUCUUCUGCCCACUCAACUGCGGCAGACACAAACAGGAAAUUAACACCCCUGCGGGGCCUUUUUCAAUGAGUGGCCUUAGCAGGCAGGAGGUGCAGGCAGACAGUGCCUGUAAAAAAGUAACAGUCCGAGCUCUAUAAAACUCUGAAUAGGAAUCGCCACUCAGACAGCAGAACAAGGGCAGUGAAAAACUCCCGCCUUGACUUGUCAUUUACAUUAAAAGAGGAAGGAACAGUAGUAUUCUUAAAAAAACAGCAUAGGAGAGACAGUAAACUAGCCGGAUUAUUGGACCGUAAAAAAACGUAAUACAAUCUCCAUGGCGGCAAGUCUGGUAUUCUGAAGCAUCUGCCCGUGUGCCAAAGCCAAGUCCUUCGGCUCUUGCUAUCAGCAGAAUCCCUUCUACCCGGGUAGUCUGACUGAGCAGAUGUGGCAGGCAGGGCAAACCCAUAAAAAAAGAAACCUGGGGCAUUUACUGACUGGAAGCUGAAGGAAGAGUGUGCACCAUCAAUUCUGUGGCCAUAUAAAUAAACAUUUUCCAGCGCUUUUCUUAAAAUGGAAGCUGGUACACUUUAAUCAAACAACCCUGUAGCUGUAGGUGAAUUGCUUUAAGAUAUAAAAAAUUCAGAUCCCCUCAAGUCAAUUAGUUUUAAGUACCUCGUGCUUUUAAAAGUGUUGGUAUGUUAACUAAGGUCUUUAAUGACUCAUUUCUCAUGAUUAGAAUAUUUAUGAUUGUUUGAUGUGUAAUGUACCGUACAAGAAAAAAUCCCUAAACUGUAACUGUAGGGUUUUAAAAAAGUUCAAACUCAGGAUCUGAAUCGGAUCGGUACUUUUUUGCACUGUUUUUUUUGUUGUUGUGACUUUGAGUUGAAGCUUAAAAAAGCUGGCAAGAAAUCAAAAACCAACAUAAAUCUGUAUUUGACUUAAUUAUUUAAGUCGGGGGGGAUUCUUGUUAUAAAAAUGGAAGGUUAUUUAUAACUUGUGGGGUUUAAUUUGAGGUAAUAAUCUGGCCACAGGCUGUGGGUGAGCCCCUAGGUGGAAUGCAGGGGACUUUCACAGUGGGAUGUGGGUGAUAAGAGCUGUAGGUUUGUAACAUUUGUGAACACAUAUCAUCAGAAACUCCCAGCUAGUCCUCACAGACUUUUCUCUGUGAAAUGCUUUAUGUGUUUUUUGUAUUCAACUAACAUACGGUUUGCUUGCCUUUAUUGUUCUUUAAAGUGCCUUUUGUGUACCUGUACUAAUUGCACAGAAGUGAAAAUGUAUUAAGUAGCAGUUAAUUGAAUAUGUAUAAAAGAAAUGCUGUCAGAACACAAGUUGUACUUGAACUCUGCAUUUACAAAUUCUGAUUAUUAUAAUUACGUACUGAUUCUGAUAAUAAACAUGAAUAAAGAUGCCCCCUUUUAUUAACACUA
Long non-coding RNA from Lepisosteus oculatus (spotted gar), 2862 nucleotides. RefSeq lists it as uncharacterized. The record is from RefSeq and is a predicted model, not a curated record. Lineage: Eukaryota; Metazoa; Chordata; Actinopteri; Semionotiformes; Lepisosteidae.